CCUACGGGCGGCAGCAGUGGGGAAUAUUGCACAAUGGGGGAAACCCUGAUGCAGCAACGCCGCGUGAAGGAAGACGGUUUUCGGAUUGUAAACUUCUGUUCUUAGUGAAGAAAAAUGACGGUAGCUAAGGAGCAAGCCACGGCUAAAUACGUGCCAGCAGCCGCGGUAAUACGUAGGUGGCAAGGGUUGUCCGGAAUUACUGGGUGUAAAGGGAGCGCAGGCGGGAAGCCAAGUCAGCUGUGAAAACUACGGGGUUAACUUGUGGACUGCAGUUGAAACUGGUUUUCUUGAGUGAAGGAGAGGUAGGCGGAAUGCGGGGUGUAGCGGUGAAAUGCGUAGAUAUUCGGAGGAACACUCGUGGCGAAGGCGGGUUCCUGGACCUUAACUGACGCUGAGGCACGAAGGCCAGGGGAGCGAAAGGGAUUAGAUACCCCUGUAGUC
This 441-nucleotide ribosomal RNA is filed under the name uncultured bacterium. RNAcentral describes it as "partial 16S ribosomal RNA". It matches the Rfam family "Bacterial small subunit ribosomal RNA", at positions 338 to 795 of the family's 1533-position model. The record is from RNAcentral.